CCUACGGGUGGCAGCAGUGAGGAAUAUUGGUCAAUGGGCUUACGCCUGAACCAGCCAAGUCGCGUGAGGGAAGACUGCCCUAUGGGUUGUAAACCUCUUUUGUCAGGGAGCAACGCCGGCUACGUGUAGCCGUACUGAGAGUACCAGAAGAAAAAGCAUCGGCUAACUCCGUGCCAGCAGCCGCGUUAAUACGGAGGAUGCGAACGUUAUCCGGAUUUAUUGGGUUUAAAGGGUGCGUAGGCGGAAUGCCAAGUCAGCGGUAAACUCGCGGGGCUCAACCUCGCUCCGCAGGUGAAACUGGGAGACUUGAGUGUGUGAGAGGUAGGCGGAAUGCGUGGUGUAGCGGUGAAAUGCAUAGAUAUCACGCAGAACUCGGAUUGCGAAGGCAGCUUACUAAGCCAUAACUGACACUGAAGCACGAAAGCGUGGGGAUCAAACAGGAUUAGAUACCCUUGUAGUC
Molecule: ribosomal RNA, 460 nt
Filed under: uncultured bacterium
Lineage: Bacteria
Description: partial 16S ribosomal RNA
Rfam family: Bacterial small subunit ribosomal RNA
Source: RNAcentral